GUAAACGGCGGCCGUAACUAUAACGGUCCUAAGGUAGCGAAAUUCCUUGUCGGGUAAGUUCCGACCUGCACGAAUGGCGUAAUGAUGGCCAGGCUGUCUCCACCCGAGACUCAGUGAAAUUGAACUCGCUGUGAAGAUGCAGUGUACCCGCGGCAAGACGGAAAGACCCCGUGAACCUUUACUAUAGCUUGACACUGAACAUUGAGCCUUGAUGUGUAGGAUAGGUGGGAGGCUUUGAAGUGUGGACGCCAGUCUGCAUGGAGCCGACCUUGAAAUACCACCCUUUAAUGUUUGAUGUUCUAACGUUGGCCCCUAAUCGGGGUUGCGGACAGUGUCUGGUGGGUAGUUUGACUGGGGCGGUCUCCUCCUAAAGAGUAACGGAGGAGCACGAAGGUUGGCUAAUCCUGGUCGGACAUCAGGAGGUUAGUGCAAUGGCAUAAGCCAGCUUGACUGCGAGCGUGACGGCGCGAGCAGGUGCGAAAGCAGGUCAUAGUGAUCCGGUGGUUCUGAAUGGAAGGGCCAUCGCUCAACGGAUAAAAGGUACUCCGGGGAUAACAGGCUGAUACCGCCCAAGAGUUCAUAUCGACGGCGGUGUUUGGCACCUCGAUGUCGGCUCAUCACAUCCUGGGGCUGAAGUAGGUCCCAAGGGUAUGGCUGUUCGCCAUUUAAAGUGGUACGCGAGCUGGGUUUAGAACGUCGUGAGACAGUUCGGUCCCUAUCUGCCGUGGGCGCUGGAGAACUGAGGGGGGCUGCUCCUAGUACGAGAGGACCGGAGUGGACGCAUCACUGGUGUUCGGGUUGUCAUGCCAAUGGCACUGCCCGGUAGCUAAAUGCGGAAGAGAUAAGUGCUGAAAGCAUCUAAGCACGAAACUUGCCCCGAGAUGAGUUCUCCCUGACUCCCUGAGAGUCCUGAAGGAACGUUGAAGACGACGACGUUGAUAGGCCGGGUGUGUAAGCGCAGCGAUGCGUUGAGCUAACCGGUACUAAUGAACCGUGAGGCUUAACCUU
Molecule: ribosomal RNA, 1008 nt
Filed under: human gut metagenome
Description: bacterial LSU rRNA
Rfam family: Bacterial large subunit ribosomal RNA
Source: RNAcentral